This is a long non-coding RNA of Drosophila albomicans, 902 nucleotides long. RefSeq lists it as uncharacterized. The transcript is spliced from 4 exons. The record is from RefSeq and is a predicted model, not a curated record. NCBI's taxonomy places the organism in Eukaryota, Metazoa, Arthropoda, Insecta, Diptera, Drosophilidae.
UUAGACCAAAAUUAAAAAAAAAAAAUAUCGAAAUUAUGUAUUAUGAUCCAAAUGACGAAAGAUCUUUUAUUUACUUUGUCAAAUUUCCGCUAUUAAAUCAAAAAUUUGCCGUAGGUUGCCAAAAUUUACGAUCAGCAAGUCUUGUCGAUUUAAUUCACCUCGCUAAAGAUGUGGCCGAACGAACGAGUUACUUGUAUACGGAGGAUCCCAUAGUGUUCUGCCUUGACAUCAGUAAAAUUAUUACGGAUGAUACGUCAUUGGCUUAUUGUGUAUCUAAAGGGUAUACAUUUCAAAUCCUAAAUGGCAUAAAUGAGGCAAACACUAUGAAGAAUGAGAGCCGAAUGAUUUACAACACGACUUUAACAUUUAGCAGAACCAAGAAUCAAGGAACUUGAUUAUACAAGUUACUCAAAAUUUCACCUGGAACUCAACUGUCAUUUAAAAAAUAAUUUAUUUAAUAAAUUAUCGAAAUUUUUGCGUGAGAAAUGUAUUAUAAUCCAAGUGAUGAAAGAGCUUACACUUAUUUUGUUAAGUUACCAAUGGUUGAACAGAAAUUUGCUAUGGGUUGUAAAAAGUUGGGCUUAGCUCACAUGGAUGAUAUUACCAAAUUAGCUAAUGAGGUUGGCAAAGUCACAAAAUUCGUUUAUUCUAAUGAGCCAGCAAUAUAUUGUUUUGAAAUGGACAAAGUUAUUGCCAACAACGAUGCACUGCGCUAUUGCAUAUCAAAAGGAUAUCAUUUUGAGGUUCUAAAUGGCAUUAGGGGAUUAUGAAUAAUCAAUAGAAUAUCAUCAUAGGCUAAAUCCAUCCAGAUUCAAACAAUUGUAAGCAUAAUUUUCAAUCAAAACAUUAAUUUAACAUAGAGUAAACUUUAAAAUUAAAGGUGAUCACUAAUAACUGAUUAA